AGAAUCAACGCUGGCGGCGUGCCUAACACAUGCAAGUCGAACGAGAAAGUGGAGCAAUCCAUUAGUAAAGUGGCGCACGGGUGAGUAACACGUGACUAACCUACCCUUGAGUGGGGGGAUAACCUAGAGAAAUCUGGGCUAAUACCGCAUAAUACCUUCGGGUCAAAGGAGCAAUUCGCUUAAGGAGGGGGUCGCGGCCGAUUAGUUAGUUGGCGGGGUAAUGGCCCACCAAGACUAUGAUCGGUAUCCGGCCUGAGAGGGCGCACGGACACACUGGAACUGAAACACGGUCCAGACUCCUACGGGAGGCAGCAGUGGGGAAUUUUGCGCAAUGGGGGAAACCCUGACGCAGCAACGCCGCGUGGAGGAUGAAGCCCCUUGGGGCGUAAACUCCUUUCGAUCGGGACGAUAAUGACGGUACCGAGAGAAGAAGCCCCGGCUAACUUCGUGCCAGCAGCCGC
This 461-nucleotide ribosomal RNA is filed under the name uncultured bacterium. RNAcentral's name for it is "SSU rRNA". It matches the Rfam family "Bacterial small subunit ribosomal RNA", at positions 26 to 518 of the family's 1533-position model. The record is from RNAcentral.